This 153-nucleotide ribosomal RNA is filed under the name Limnodrilus rubripenis. Its description in RNAcentral is "5.8S ribosomal RNA". It matches the Rfam family "5.8S ribosomal RNA". From Rfam's summary of the family: 5.8S ribosomal RNA (5.8S rRNA) is a component of the large subunit of the eukaryotic ribosome. It is transcribed by RNA polymerase I as part of the 45S precursor that also contains 18S and 28S rRNA. Lineage: Eukaryota; Metazoa; Annelida; Clitellata; Tubificida; Naididae. The record is from RNAcentral.
AACUCUAAGCGGUGGAUCACUCGGCUCGUGUGUCGAUGAAGAGCGCAGCCAGSYGCGUGAAUUAAUGUGAAUUGCAGGACACAUUGAACAUCGAUAUCUUGAACGCACAUUGCGGCCUCGGGCAUUCCCGAGGCCACGCCUGUCUCAGGGUCG